CGGGGUGAGUAACGCGUGGAUAACCUGCCUCACACUGGGGGAUAACAGUUAGAAAUGCUGCUAAUACCGCAUAAGCGCACAGUACCGCAUGGUACAGUGUGAAAAACUCCGGUGGUGUGAGAUGGAUCCGCGUCUGAUUAGCCAGUUGGCGGGGUAACGCCCACCAAAGCAACGAUCAGUAGCCGACCUGAGAGGGUGACCGGCCACAUUGGGACUGAGACACGGCCCAA
This 230-nucleotide ribosomal RNA is filed under the name uncultured bacterium. RNAcentral describes it as "partial 16S ribosomal RNA". It matches the Rfam family "Bacterial small subunit ribosomal RNA", at positions 104 to 334 of the family's 1533-position model. The record is from RNAcentral.